This 376-nucleotide unclassified non-coding RNA is filed under the name soil metagenome. RNAcentral's name for it is "partial contains 5.8S ribosomal RNA, internal transcribed spacer 2, and large subunit ribosomal RNA". The stretch from base 1 to 120 matches the Rfam family "5.8S ribosomal RNA", at positions 35 to 154 of the family's 154-position model. The record is from RNAcentral.
GAUGAAGAACGUAGCGAAAUGCGAUAAGUAAUGUGAAUUGCAGAAUUCAGUGAAUCAUCGAAUCUUUGAACGCAUCUUGCGCUCCUUGGUAUUCUGAGGAGCAUGCCUGUUUGAGUGUCAUUAAAUUCUCAACUACACUGACUUUGAAUUGGUGUGGCUUGGAUUUGGGGGGAAAAUUGUUGUGGGCUUUUUGUAUAGUCUGCUCCCCUGAAAUUGAUUAGCGGUACCUUUGUGGAACUGUCUACAGGUGUGAUAAUUAUCUACAUCUUAGCCAUCUGCUGGAAUGCUGCUUUCUAAACCUUACUUGUAUUGACAAUCUUGACCUCAAAUCAGGUAGGACUACCCGCUGAACUUAAGCAUAUCAAUAAGCGGAGGA